GUGAGGGAUUUUCCGCAAUGGGCGAAAGCCUGACGGAGCAAUGCCGCGUGAAGGAUGAAGGCCUAUGGGUUGUAAACUUCUUUUCUCAGAAAAGAAUUAUGACGGUAUCUGAGGAAUAAGCAUCGGCUAACUCUGUGCCAGCAGCCGCGGUAAGACAGAGGAUGCAAGCGUUAUCCGGAAUGAUUGGGCGUAAAGCGUCUGUAGGUUGUUUAAAAAGUAUUCUGUCAAAGAUUAGGGCUUAACCCUAGAUAGGCAGAAUAAACUUUUAAGCUAGAGUUUGGUAGAGGCAGAGGGAAUUCCCGGUGGAGCGGUGAAAUGCGUAGAUAUCGGGAGGAACACCAAAGGCGAAGGCACUCUGCUGGGCCAAUACUAACACUGAGAGACGAAAGCGAGGGGAGCAAAUGGGAUUAGAAACCCGAGUAGUCC
RNAcentral lists this ribosomal RNA (426 nucleotides) under uncultured bacterium. Its description in RNAcentral is "partial 16S ribosomal RNA". It matches the Rfam family "Bacterial small subunit ribosomal RNA", at positions 354 to 796 of the family's 1533-position model. The record is from RNAcentral.